GGCACCCCGGGCCGCCGGCGGCCAGAGGAGAGCUCACGUGCACUGUUCUCCGAAGAAAACGAGACCAUACAAUAAACGGCUCUUUUAUUUAUAAAAAAGCCCCGGGAGCAGUCUUCAGGGCUGCAGGAUCCAGUUCUCUCUGCGUCCCGCGGGGAAGUCGGCCUCACGCCCCCCUGCCUGGGCUGGGGCGCCCCUCGGGGCGCUCGAGCACCGCCGCCCGCGCAGCCUCUGCCCUUCCUCUGUGUCCCCGGCUGCCCGAGGUCGCCCGAGGUCGUCACCACGGAGAGCCGAGCACCAGCCCGCCCCCCGCCCGCCCCGGGAAAGUGUGUGGUCAGCUCGGAGAGGGAACUCAGCCUGCCACCUGUGCUGUCCCCUACCCUGCCCCGCGGCCACCUCCUCUGGGAGGAAGGCUCCCGAAGGCCGCUGGGUCGGAGGACGGUACCGGCCCUUUGCUGGGGGCUAGCAGCCCGCGGGGGGCCGAGAAGGGGUCUCAGAUGUGGCGGGGAGGGGCCAGCCUGCGGGAGGGUCGGGGAGGCUGGAGGGAACUGUUGAUAAAUCUUGGCUCUUCCUGCUUCUCCCCUUUUUGCCAAACACCUUUUGGGCCCCCGAAGGCUGCCGAGGGGGCUCAUCUGUGGGGCCCACCUGCUCCUUGGUGCAAGUUCCCUGCCUUGCCUUCCCCCUGCCCUUGGCAGCUGCCCCCUCACCCCAUCCCACCUGGUCUAGCGCAGAUAUCCACAGCUCAGCCCCCAGUCCUGCAUGCUGGAGAUUUCUGGAUCCUUCCCUGGGAGGGGGAGGUCUCCUAACCAGAUUGGACAGGAGCCUUCAUUCCUUGACUUGUGUCAUUUGGGAGCUAUUUAUUUAUUCUUAAUAUUUAAUUUUUAACAUCCUCUCAGGGACCAGGGGCCUCCUGCUUUCCAGAGGCCCAAGUGCAUUUAUCCCAAAACAAGGCAUCUUCUUGGCAUCCACCCCACCCCCCCAUUCCUAACACCCUAAGGUCCCUCACCUUGUUGCUCUGGAAGCUCUUGCCAAUACGAGUGUUAGUAGCCCUGAAAGAGGGUGGAAAGGUGUAAGGUGUCACCAAAGCCACACAAAGACUAGCAGAAGCAAGGAAGGUCAAAGGCAGUUCUCAUUGCUACCUCUUCUCUGGCUGUAUUUUCAAAUUGCUCGAGGGGAUUGGCUGGAAGCCAGAAUUCUAGUUUUCUUUCUGGCUGGAGGAGGCCAUAUUUGGCAUGGAGUCACUGAAGUGAAGGGCUGGAAGGUUCUAGAGGCCCCAUCACUUCCCAUAGGAGGGCCGCGUUAUUUUUCUGAUCUUGUUCUUCAGCGUUAGUUCUGUGAAACGUUCCAAGUGAACGUGAGCAUAGGACAGGUCGGCAGGUUAGGAAGGAGCCAAAAAUCCUGCUAUUCUCCUUACUACCCAAUAGCCUAAAGACAUCCAUGUUCCUAUUUGGGAGCUUGGAGUGGGGAGGGAGUUUUGUUUCUAAACUAUGCACUAACAGGUGUUUUUCAGCAUUCAGUUAUGCAUGAAUACAGUUCUUCAGGACCCCAGCGAUAGGAGUAACAAAAUUCUCCCCGCCAGACUCCAGGACGGCUACCUAGAUCGUCAACUUCCCCAGUUAGUUUCCUCCAAAGGCUUCUUCCAGGACCCAAGUUUGCAAAAAUCUGGUAUGCCCUCCAGAAACAGGAGGGUGGCAAAUUUAAGCUGUCUUCUAAAUCACUUGUGUAAUAAGAGUGCCUUCGCAGCUUCGCCCCAAAGUGCUACUUAUGUUUCCUGAGGUUUUUUCUAUUUAAACAGUAUUUUGUUUCAGGCCCCCCUGUGGACAUGUGGUAAGAGGAACCUCCUUGUUUAGAGAGAUUCUCCUCCUCUACGCUCACAGGAAUCAGACUAGGCAAAUAUUGGUGGAAAAAAUCAAGGUGGUACCUCUGUAUUAAUUCCACCAGACACUGUAUUUUCGAAGGGCUCGUGCUCCAGGAUGGAUUUAGAUCUAGAAUACACGGUGAAAGUUAAAAUGUGUAGAGGGCAAUGCCAUUGUUCCAAGUGACCUGCCAAUAAAGUAGGUGCAGCCAUAGGAGCUGGGAUGGGUAUAUCCUUUAAUGGUGCUUUCUCUCUGUGAACACAGUAGGCUUAUCUUUUUUUUUUUUUCCCUUGUUCUCUUCUAUUCAGAGCUGUUUGCUUUAAGAAGUUAAAUGACAAACACCUCCAGCUUUAUAAUGUCCUCCCCACACCAUCUCACAUAGCCAUCUUCCAGUCUCCAUCUACACUUAGCUAAGGGCAUGAAACUAACCUAGUGCCUGUGUCCCAGACCAUUUCUGAGGUGUCUUACCCACCCAAGGAGACUGUGCUUCAGCGCACUGUCCUCCAUGCCUUCAGCAGCCCCCCUCACAGCUAAGGUACACCCUCAUCCCUUCUGACCCCACCACCACCCCUGGCACAGAGGUCAUGUGCUGCUUAUGUCUAGAGAAUCCCCUAUAUUUAACUGCCUCAGUGACCUAACCUCUUUCUUCUCAUGUGCCAGAUGUUAAGAUGAAGGAGGAAUACAACACAUACUCAAGCCUCAGCUGUUUAAAUAUAUUUUCACUGGGGCUCUCUUUUUUUUCGAACGGUAUUUAUUACCAGACUGGCAAGCCUAACUCCUUAGGUUUACAGGAAGUAUGCACAUUUUUAUAAAACAAUUGUAUGUCCUCCCCAUAUUUCGCUGUGUUAAUGUUUGCCUCUAACAAUUUGCAGCUGUUUCACCUUUUCCUCAUUUGUCUUUAAGUUGAAGGUCUUGUGUGGAGGGGACAGCACAGGAACAGCCUUGACAGUCUGUAAUUAUUGUACAAAUAUUUUAAUAGCAUAUAAAUAAGUAUAUUCCUUUUAUUUUGGAAAAAAAAAACAUGAUCAGACACUGCCUUUUGUGUGUUUGCUGCCUGUGGCACCCUUUUUUAAAAAGACUGUUACAUAUUAAAAUAGUGUAUAUAUAUAUAUAUAUAUAUAUAUAAAUAUUACCUCUUUUGCUGUACAGUUGUGAUAGACCAGACUGAAGAUUUUAUUUUUUGUGUGCUUUUUAUAAAAAAGAAAAAAUAACACACUAAAGUAAAUCUUGCGGAUGUGAUUGUAAUGUACCUAUGUAACUUAUUUACUUUUGAAUGUUCUUCUGUAUCUUUAAACCUUUUAUUAAAUAAGGUUUUAAAAAUU
This 3175-nucleotide long non-coding RNA is filed under the name Canis lupus familiaris (dog). RNAcentral's name for it is "lncRNA (ENSCAFG00845013201.1)". The record is from RNAcentral. Lineage: Eukaryota; Metazoa; Chordata; Mammalia; Carnivora; Canidae.